This 301-nucleotide ribosomal RNA is filed under the name uncultured bacterium. Its description in RNAcentral is "partial 16S ribosomal RNA". It matches the Rfam family "Bacterial small subunit ribosomal RNA", at positions 509 to 808 of the family's 1533-position model. The record is from RNAcentral.
CAGUAGGCCGCGGUAAUACAGAGGGUGCGAGCGUUAAUCGGAUUUACUGGGCGUAAAGCGUGCGUAGGCGGCUUCUUAAGUCGGAUGUGAAAUCCCUGAGCUUAACUUAGGAAUUGCAUUCGAUACUGGGAAGCUAGAGUAUGGGAGAGGAUGGUAGAAUUCCAGGUGUAGCGGUGAAAUGCGUAGAGAUCUGGAGGAAUACCGAUGGCGAAGGCAGCCAUCUGGCCUAAUACUGACGCUGAGGUACGAAAGCAUGGGGAGCAAACAGGAUUAGAUACCCGUGUAGUCCCUGUCUCUUAUA